CUUGCUCCCGUUAGAGGAAGUAAAAGUCGUAACAAGGUCUCCGUUGGUGAACCAGCGGA
RNAcentral lists this ribosomal RNA (59 nucleotides) under Colletotrichum gloeosporioides. Its description in RNAcentral is "partial 18S ribosomal RNA". Lineage: Eukaryota; Fungi; Ascomycota; Sordariomycetes; Glomerellales; Glomerellaceae. The record is from RNAcentral.